UACAGAGGUCCCAAGCGUUGUUCGGAUUCACUGGGCGUAAAGGGUGCGUAGGUGGUGAGGAAAGUCUGAUGUGAAAUCUCCGAGCUCAACUCGGAAACGGCAUUGGAAACUACCUCGCUGGAGGGUUGGAGGGGGGACUGGAAUACUUGGUGUAGCAGUGAAAUGCGUAGAGAUCAAGAGGAAUACCAGAGGCGAAGGCGGCGAACUGGACAGUAACUGACACUAAACUACGAAAGCGUGGGGAGCAAACAGG
RNAcentral lists this ribosomal RNA (253 nucleotides) under uncultured prokaryote. RNAcentral's name for it is "partial 16S ribosomal RNA". It matches the Rfam family "Bacterial small subunit ribosomal RNA", at positions 524 to 776 of the family's 1533-position model. The record is from RNAcentral.